This 301-nucleotide ribosomal RNA is filed under the name uncultured bacterium. RNAcentral describes it as "partial 16S ribosomal RNA". It matches the Rfam family "Bacterial small subunit ribosomal RNA", at positions 509 to 807 of the family's 1533-position model. The record is from RNAcentral.
CAGUAGCCGCGGUAAUACGAAGGGGGCUAGCGUUGUUCGGAUUUACUGGGCGUAAAGGGCGCGUAGGCGGGCGAUUAAGUCAGAGGUGAAAUCCCAAGGCUCAACCUUGGAACUGCCUUUGAUACUGGUUGUCUUGAGUCCGGGAGAGGUGAGUGGAACUGCGAGUGUAGAGGUGAAAUUCGUAGAUAUUCGCAAGAACACCAGUGGCGAAGGCGGCUCACUGGCCCGGAACUGACGCUGAGGCGCGAAAGCGUGGGGAGCAAACAGGAUUAGAUACCCCAGUAGUCCCUGUCUCUUAUAC